RNAcentral lists this ribosomal RNA (530 nucleotides) under uncultured Acidobacteriaceae bacterium. RNAcentral's name for it is "bacterial SSU rRNA". It matches the Rfam family "Bacterial small subunit ribosomal RNA", at positions 28 to 589 of the family's 1533-position model. The record is from RNAcentral. Lineage: Bacteria; Pseudomonadati; Acidobacteriota; Terriglobia; Terriglobales; Acidobacteriaceae.
AAUCAACGCUGGCGGCGUGCCUAACACAUGCAAGUCGAACGAGAAAGGGGAGCAAUCCCUGAGUACAGUGGCGCACGGGUGAGUAACACGUGACUAAUCUACCCUCGAGCGGGGAAUAACCAAGGGAAACCUUGGCCUAAUACCGCAUAAUACCUACGGGUCAAAGGAGCAAUCCACUUGAGGAGGAGGUCGCGGCCGAUUAGCUAGUUGGCGGGGUAAUGGCCCACCAAGGCAUUGAUCGGUAUCCGGCCUGAGAGGGCGCACGGACACACUGGAACUGAAACACGGUCCAGACUCCUACGGGAGGCAGCAGUGGGGAAUUUUGCGCAAUGGGGGAAACCCUGACGCAGCAACGCCGCGUGGAGGAUGAAGUCCCUUGGGACGUAAACUCCUUUCGAUCGGGGCGAUAAUGACGGUACCGGAAGAAGAAGCCCCGGCUAACUUCGUGCCAGCAGCCGCGGUAAUACGAGGGGGGCAAGCGUUGUUCGGAAUUAUUGGGCGUAAAGGGAGUGUAGGCGGUUUGGUAAGUC